UCACACCACCCAAUUUACCCAGAAUGUUCCCGAUCUCGGCAGACCUAAGAAUCUAAGCAAAGUUCAGCCUGGUUGGUGCUUGGAUGGGUGACCAUCAGGGCUUGCCAGGUGUUGUAGGCC
This 120-nucleotide ribosomal RNA is filed under the name Petromyzon marinus (sea lamprey). Lineage: Eukaryota; Metazoa; Chordata; Hyperoartia; Petromyzontiformes; Petromyzontidae. The record is from RNAcentral.